This 429-nucleotide ribosomal RNA is filed under the name uncultured bacterium. RNAcentral's name for it is "bacterial SSU rRNA". It matches the Rfam family "Bacterial small subunit ribosomal RNA", at positions 355 to 776 of the family's 1533-position model. The record is from RNAcentral.
UGGGGAAUAUUGGACAAUGGGGGCAACCCUGAUCCAGCAAUGCCGCGUGUGUGAAGAAGGCCUGAGGGUUGUAAAGCACUUUCAGUGGGGAGGAGGAUUUGAAGGUUAAGAGCCAUUAAAUUGGACGUUACCCACAGAAGAAGCACCGGCUAACUCCGUGCCAGCAGCCGCGGUAAUACGGAGGGUGCGAGCGUUAUCCGGAUUCACUGGGUUUAAAGGGUGCGUAGGCGGGUAGGUAAGUCAGUGGUGAAAUCCUUGAGCUCAACUUGGGAACUGCAUCUGAGACUGGAAGGCUAGAGUACUGGAGAGGGUGGUGGAAUUCCUCGUGUAGCGGUGAAAUGCGUAGAGAUGAGGAGGAACACCAGUGGCGAAGGCGGCCACCUGGACAGUAACUGACGCUGAGGCGCGAAAGUGUGGGUAGCAAACAGG